GCCGAGUUGGAUAACACCAGCUUGUGACCCAAGUGGGGGCAUUAAGGUGAUGGAACGGUUCCAUGGCUUGCUGGGUUGGACUGUUGAGUGCAAUAUGUUUGGCUUGCCCACUCCAAGUUGAGAGUUGAUUCAUGUGACUUGAGCUAAGGCCCAGGUCUCAUGGGUCCUAGACUAGAGGGCACAGCGUGAGGCUGGAUUCACAGAGCAGCGAUAACCUCUGGCCCUCAACAGUGGAGGGAUAACAGGUUGCAGCACUAUCAGUCCAUUAUGACCUGGUGAGCCUGGCUGCUUGAACCAUCAUUUUU
Non-coding RNA from Lupinus angustifolius (narrow-leaved blue lupine), 305 nucleotides. Lineage: Eukaryota; Viridiplantae; Streptophyta; Magnoliopsida; Fabales; Fabaceae. The record is from Rfam.